GCUAAUCGAGUGCUGCUCUCCCUUUUGCCCAUUAUGUCUUCCGCGGAUCCAACACCUCCUACACAAAUCAACCAAGCCUCUGUUAGUUUGGUUCUUUUCUGUAUAAAACAUCAUCAGAUGGAUUACACAAGGCCAGGUGUGAUGUUUACCUCAGUGGAACGAUUGGAGCUUAAAUGUGUCUACAUUUCCAUGGUAGCACUUGAUUUGGGUUGUUGCAGAAAAGAGUGUGUGGUUGCGUGGCUAAGGCUAAGGGUUUGUGUCGAGGUGCAAGAGAAGGGUAAACCAUUGAAGUCGAAAUGGUGAAUGUGGUGCAGCUAGGUUCUAAAAUGUGAGAACGGGAGAGCAAUUUCUGAUUUUAGUGAGAAAGAGGGCUGAAAAAUAAAAAAUAAAAUGGAAGGUUUGUAUGAAGAGGGAUGCCGAACUGAGAAGACAAUGGAGAGAUUAAAAGCCUUUUCAGAUUUUCUAGAGAGAGCUAGAUGGGCACAUGGGGUUAAUCUUAACCCUUGAUUUGGAAUCCUAUGGAGCUACCCUUCCUGAUGCAUGACACGGGUGUGCAUCAUCAGUUUUUUAUGCUCCUUAGGACAUAGUUUGAAGAGAGGGGAGAGAGCCGUUUGGGCUCUGGGUUUGAUGACUGACAUGUACUGAUGCUUGACGCCAAUUUCAACACGGCAUGCUAGCUGCAUGCCUUUCAAAGAAGGGAAUCCAAUGUUUUCAAAUGUUGGUGCACAGGUUUUGGUGCACAUGUGCCGUGCACAUGGACUUGGUGUGUGGUCUGGGUUCUCAAUGAAGUGGGCUCUUUGUGGCUUUUUAUUUGGCUACCCAUUUAUUAACCAGCAACUUCAUUUUCCAGCCCAGGUAAUAUCUUUCUUUUUCUUUGGUUUUGUUAAUCAUUUUCACUUUUGUAAUUAUUAUAUUUUAGUUUAAGUUUAUUUCAUUUUUGUCAUGUUUCUUUUAUUUUCCACACCUUGAGGACAACGUGUGAAAUAAGUUUGGGGGUGGGAAAGUAAAAUUUUAGGAUUUUAAUUUUUUUGUCAAGUUAAAAUUUUUCUUUUUAAGUUAAUAUCCAUAGAUUAUUUUAAACGUUGGAACAAAUGGACAUGGUGAAGAUUAAUCCCACAGUAGAGUCUUUUCUAUUUAUCGUUGCUUAGACACUAAUUCAUGAAUUAUACUUUGAACUUUGCACAUCACACCAACAUGGUUUGUGGGGAGUGAGAUUGAAACACUUACUUUUAGUCUAAGUUUAUUUUUAAUUUUUGUUUUAAGUAAAGUCAGUUAUUAUUGUGAAUAAAGUAAUAAUUGUCUCACCCGAGGUUUU
This 1315-nucleotide long non-coding RNA is filed under the name Malus domestica (apple). RNAcentral's name for it is "long non-coding RNA (MDOM_LNC012593)". The record is from RNAcentral. Lineage: Eukaryota; Viridiplantae; Streptophyta; Magnoliopsida; Rosales; Rosaceae.